Prionailurus viverrinus (fishing cat) is the source of this 732-nucleotide long non-coding RNA. RefSeq lists it as uncharacterized. Lineage: Eukaryota; Metazoa; Chordata; Mammalia; Carnivora; Felidae. The record is from RefSeq and is a predicted model, not a curated record. The transcript is spliced from 3 exons.
AGUCCGGGCGGCAGGGCGAGUUUACAACAACUGACAGUAACUAUAACAUACGCCAGUUUGUAUUAAGAUGUUAUUGUACCUUUCCAGUUCUAAUCACCAAUUAUGACUCUAUUACUCCUACUUGGCAGUUCAUCUGCUCCUGCCUCCGCUAAGGGCGACUUGGAGACGGACCUCUGAUCUCCUGGUUCCACCUCAGUGGGCGCUCAGCACGGCGGCUGUCAUCCGCAGACACUGAAGAGAUCUCAAGUCCCAGCUACACACAUAUUUGGCUCGUGUGGAUGGUCUUCUCAAUCCGGAACUCCCCAUCUUCCCCAAAUACACUCCUAUUUACCACCCCUCCGUCCCCAACUUCUGGCCUUCCUCAUCAGUUCCUCAUCUGGGCCUCAGGCCACUCAUCUCAGAGGGAAGGACCGGAACCAUCCUCGCCGCAUGCCGCUAUCCUAUUCCUGACCACACGUUCCCCAACAACGGAGGGGCAGAUCGGCUCCUUGGGCAACAGUACCAGGCUCCAUCCAUGGCGCCCAUCCCAGGAACAACACUCAGCCCUGGGGUCAGGGCUGGAGCCUGCGAAAGCCCUGGGGGGCCCUGGAGUGCAUCCCAGGGAAGCAGCGAGAUGCAGUGGGGGAGGGCACGCAUGUCAGCUCUGUCAUGCUCAGCUCUGUCCCUUGCGAGCUGCGCGAUGCAGGCAAGGCCUCGAUUUCCUCAUCUCUAAAAUGGGCAUCAUAAUGUACA